GCGACCCCAGGUCAGGCGGGACUACCCACUGAGUU
This 35-nucleotide ribosomal RNA is filed under the name Quercus suber. Its description in RNAcentral is "partial 25S ribosomal RNA". Lineage: Eukaryota; Viridiplantae; Streptophyta; Magnoliopsida; Fagales; Fagaceae. The record is from RNAcentral.